This 245-nucleotide ribosomal RNA is filed under the name uncultured bacterium. Its description in RNAcentral is "partial 16S ribosomal RNA". It matches the Rfam family "Bacterial small subunit ribosomal RNA", at positions 528 to 772 of the family's 1533-position model. The record is from RNAcentral.
UAGGGGGCAAGCGUUAUCCGGAUUUACUGGGUGUAAAGGGAGCGUAGACGGCGGUGCAAGUCAGAAGUGAAAGCCCGGGGCGCAACCCCGGGACUGCUUUUGAAACUGUAUGGCUGGAGUGCAGGAGAGGUAAGCGGAAUUCCUGGUGUAGCGGUGAAAUGCGUAGAUAUCAGGAGGAACACCGGUGGCGAAGGCGGCUUACUGGACUGUAACUGACGUUGAGGCUCGAAAGCGUGGGGAGCAAA